GCCCCUGUAGCUCAACGGAUCGAGCGGCGGUUUCCUAAACCGUAGAUGAAGGUUCAAUUCCUUUCAGGGGCU
This 72-nucleotide transfer RNA is filed under the name Thermotoga sp. RNAcentral describes it as "tRNA-Arg". It matches the Rfam family "tRNA". From Rfam's summary of the family: Transfer RNA (tRNA) molecules are approximately 80 nucleotides in length. Their secondary structure includes four short double-helical elements and three loops (D, anti-codon, and T loops). Lineage: Bacteria; Thermotogati; Thermotogota; Thermotogae; Thermotogales; Thermotogaceae. RNAcentral also lists the same sequence under 2 other names. The record is from RNAcentral.